Molecule: long non-coding RNA, 543 nt
Filed under: Bos indicus x Bos taurus (hybrid cattle)
Lineage: Eukaryota; Metazoa; Chordata; Mammalia; Artiodactyla; Bovidae
Description: lncRNA (ENSBIXG00000000639.1)
Source: RNAcentral
AUGUUUCUGGAUGGACGACGAGACCUGCCUGUCGGCUGUCGCUUCAGCAUCUUCAGUGUGCAGCUGGGGGUUUCCUUCCCACAUGACCCUACACCCCUUCCAAACGGGCCUAUCUGUAGACGAACUUCUCCCGCAGAGAAAAGAAGGCUUUCCCCAAGCACUGGGGGAGCCAGUGAGGCCCCGAGGCUGCAGAGCUGCAGGCGAUGGUGCCCCGUGGAUGUGUGGAGAGGCACCGAAGGGUCCAAGUCCUACAAACACUCGCUUAGAGACCCCGUGGCCCGGGUUCUCUGGGAGCGCAGUGUUGAGAGGCGCCGUCUUCCGGAUGGGGACGCACCAAGGGGAUGGGAAGUGGAAUCUGCCCUCAUACGUCCAGGGGCCCCUCUGGAUGUGGUACCCAGGACCAGCCACAGUGAUGAGAAUUCCCGGAUGCCCACGCUUACCACCAGCUUUUACCAGGAGGCUUUGGAGUUUCAGGACUGCCUAGGUCACCUUUGGAGUUCAGAGCAGGGUAAGCGUUUACUAACCCAGCAACCAUGUAACUGA